Molecule: ribosomal RNA, 513 nt
Filed under: uncultured bacterium
Lineage: Bacteria
Description: partial 16S ribosomal RNA
Rfam family: Bacterial small subunit ribosomal RNA
Source: RNAcentral
AUUGAACGCUGGCGGCAUGCCUAACACAUGCAAGUCGAACGGCAGCACAGUAAAGAUUUCGGUCUUUAUGAGUGGCGAGUGGCGGACGGGUGAGUAAUGCGUAGGAAUCUGUCCUGGAGAGUGGGAUAACCCGAGGAAACUCGGGCUAAUACUGCAUGAUAUCGAGAGAUCAAAGGCAGGGGACCCUUUGGGGCCUUGCGCUCUAGGAUGAGCCUACGUCGGAUUAGCUAGUUGGUGGGGUAAAGGCCUACCAAGGCGACGAUCCGUAGCUGGGCUGGGAGGAUGACCAGCCACACUGGGACUGGGACACGGCCCAGACUCCUACGGGAGGCAGCAGUGGGGAAUCUUGGACAAUGGGGGAAACCCUGAUCCAGCGAUGCCGCGUGUGUGAAGAAGGCCUUCGGGUUGUAAAGCACUUUAGUUGGGGAAGAAAAGUAAUGAGUGAAUAACUGAUUGCUCUGACGGUACCCAAAGAAUAAGCACCGGCUAACUCUGUGCCAGCCGCCGCCGUAA